This 274-nucleotide ribosomal RNA is filed under the name uncultured bacterium. RNAcentral's name for it is "partial 16S ribosomal RNA". It matches the Rfam family "Bacterial small subunit ribosomal RNA", at positions 523 to 796 of the family's 1533-position model. The record is from RNAcentral.
AUACGGAGAGUGCAAGCGUUGUUCGGAAUUACUGGGCGUAAAGAGCAUGUAGGCGGCCUGGUCAGUCUGGUGUGAAAGCCCGGGGCUCAACCCCGGAAGUGCAUUGGAUACUGCUAGGCUUGAGUACUGGAGGGGAAAGCGGAAUUCCGAGUGUAGAGGUGAGAUUCGUAGAUAUUCGGAGGAGCACCUGUGGCGAAGGCGGCUUUCUGGACAGAUACUGACGCUGAGAUGCGAAAGCGUGGGGAGCAAACAGGAUUAGAAACCCUAGUAGUCC